RNAcentral lists this long non-coding RNA (5543 nucleotides) under Nicotiana benthamiana. RNAcentral's name for it is "long non-coding RNA (NBEN_LNC007843)". Lineage: Eukaryota; Viridiplantae; Streptophyta; Magnoliopsida; Solanales; Solanaceae. The record is from RNAcentral.
AGACACGCAAACUCCCAUCGUGUCCCAGAUCACAUUCCGUGAAUCAAAAGGGAAAGCCUACUCAUCUAUCAGCUCCUCUUGUAGAUCGGUGGUUGUACCUGUGAACCAACCCCCUACAGCGAAAUAGGCAUAAGGAAAGAGCAAUAGACCGGACCAGCCUACAAAAACGAAACGGUCCCUCCGUAACCAGUCAUCCAUAAUAUCAAAUAAAUCAUUUUCGUCUUUGGAGGCAUAAGGAAAGAGCAAUAGACCGGACCAGCCUACAAAAACGAAACGGUCCCUCCGUAACCUUUGGCCGACCUAGGCAGCUUCCUAGGACUCUCUAGAGUCCUCUAAGAUGCCACCACUCCUUUGUACUUCCAUGGAGCUUCCACUUACUCCUAGAUCACUCCGGAACCUUCUAGAACCUUCCAUAGCGCAAGAUUGUGCUUACACGUGCAAGUUUCCCUGCAUGUGGCUCGUCCGUGCUUUCUGAGGCGCUGCCUCGAUUAUUUCCGAACAAGGGUGUUCUAUUCUGUUGGUAAUAAUGGAACAAUUCUGGUACGAUUCUAUUCAACAUUUUGUUCGUUCGGGUUUGAUUGUCCUUUCUACAACAGCCGAUUAGCAAAUUCUAUAGGUAUAGAUUUUAUUGAAUCAAAAAUAAUGUGAAAUAAAGAUACUAGUCAAUAGAUAACCUUUUUUUUCCAAUUAUGAAUGUUUUAUGGAAUAGAAAAACUUGAAAAAAACACAUAUUGACCCGGACGACUUUUCCGCCGGACGUAUCUAAUUCUUUGGUAGCAGACCUCUUUGAUAGUUCGACCGUUAUCCCCCGUCUAACUCAACAUCGACUGUACGGCUAUUGUGAUUGCAAGCUCGGUUUUGUCUGAAUCUUCGUGGAAGAAGAAGAAGCGGUUCACCAGCCACCAUCUUAGUCUACCCGACUUUGACUUUGACUUGCAUCUCCUUCGCCCGCGCGAGAGACUUCUAUGCCAGCCCGGAAUAACGGCUCUGUUAUGACCAGAUCCCCUGGUCUGCAAUAUUCACCCCGGCCCACAAGCACACAAAACCAAUCUCAUAACUCUUUUUGCAGGACAUUCAUGAAUCUACUCGAGCUCUUUGGCAGUAUUAAGAUCCCCUACUCACCUUUCAUGUAAAAAGAAAAAGGCACUGGUUUAGUUCGAAAUGGGGAUUCCUUUCCCCUAUGAUUAUAGGAACAAUCCUCACCGCCCUUUCAAUUCUAUCCAUAAGCCUCUAUCGAAGAAGCCCCCAACCAAGGGAGUGGUUACGUUCACUAUGUCCCCCUUAUUCCCGACAUGCUAUGGUGCCCCGGGGCUGUCUCGCGAAGAUCUUCGAUCCGAACCUUCGCAUCUACUCUCUCUUAGAGGAUGAACCACGCCUUCGCUAUCGCAAGAAUAUAGCGAUCGAAGAGCUAUGGCUCAGCUGCUUCGCGUAUUACACCGUAUUGCCCGAAGGGGGCAUGCUGCAAGAGCGUAGGUGAGUGAUAAGCAUAGGAGGCGUGCCCGAAGGGCAGCGGCAGCAGUGUGGUUCCAGAUGCCGUCGCUAGAUUGAGAUCUGCAGGGUGGCGGGUACUUCGACUGCCUUGUAUCAGGUGAAGAGAAGGGGGUGGUAGGCUUAGUAGGGCUCGAACCUACAAUAUCACCGUUAUGAGCGGUACGUUUCAACCAAUUAAACUAUAAGCCCCUACGGAUCUCUACAUGCAAUUCGCUCACUUCGGGAAGAGCGGACGGAAAGAGAAGGCCUUUGUCCUAUCUGAUGUGAAUUCGGCGGGUUGUCCCCUCUUCCUACGGGUUCCCCCACCGACCCAGUGACACACCAACAACACGCCUUCACUUUCUCCGAUCAGGAAUUGUCUUAUGUGCGGAUUGAAGUGCGUGAUAGAGAUAGAUGCUUCCGUAAGUUUACUUUUUCCAGGAAAGCUAAAUUCUUUUAGUCUUUCAGGGGGAUCGAAUCUCCUUCUUCACUCACGCGAUAUUGCUAGAUCGGAGUGAGAGGGAGGUCAUUCAGAACCCGCUGGCUCCAGAACGGGGGGGCGGCUCCAGAGGCGCUGCCGCAGGCGCCAGCACCGACAUAAAUUGCCCACCCCGCUCCCGAUCAAAAAGAGCAUGCGAGACUUCGAAGGGACAUUCACACUUUGAUUCGUGAGCAACUUCACGAGAACAUUGUGAAAGGGGGAAAUGGCGGCUGUCCGUGCACUUUCCGGAAAUGACGGAAAUAUAGUCCAGUGCCGCGAAGGCGAUAAUGUCUUACGAUCUUACGAUCUCCGCGGAGACGGAUACGGAAACCCUCCGCAGAUGGGUGGAGAAUAUAAGGGGGACCUUUAUCUCCUAAAGCUACUCAUUAGGGAAUACCGGCCAAAUUAGUCUGUCUGCCGCUUUCUUUCAUAACAGAGCCGUUAUUCCGGGCUGGCAUAGAAGUCUCUCGCGCGGGCGAAGGAGAUGCAUUUCUGGUACUGGUGGUAUUGGACAAGCUCUAAGGGAAUAAUCUCUUUCUUAUUUCUGUAUUUCUUUCCCAUGACGACUAAGAACAGGCAAAUCAAAAAUUUCACUUCGAAUUUCGGACCUCAACAUCCUGCUGCUCAUGGUGUUUCACGAUCAGUAUUGGAAAUGAACGGAGAAGUGGUGGAACGUGCGGAACCUCUCACUGAGGACCAUGGGCCAAUAACUUCAGGUGCAAUAGAAAGCAGAAGAAGAAGAAGGAGCCUCCUACCUUCCUUCUGACCCCGCGCAGUGAGCAAGCAUCAAUCAAUCAAUUCGAUUUCUUUCUAUUUUUAAGUACACCAAACGCUUCACGCUCCUUGGGAUUAUUAUAACAGUGAGAACCCCAUUUCACUAAUCGCCAGGGAGGGCAUAAGCAUGUCUUACUCAAAAUCGAUAGAUAGGUUGGUAGAGAGGUGGAAAUUGACCCCUCUGAGCUUGCGCAUUCACUUACUUGACUAAGGUUCAUACAAGAUCGGAUUGGAAUCGAUGACUUCAACCUAUUACCUUAGUAGUCCUAGGCAUAUAAAAGGCAUUCCUUCUAACUAUAAAAACUAUCAAGUCGCCUUCGCUACUCUCUUUCCUCUUUAUGGAUUGAAAGCGCGUACUCUCUUCCAAAGAACAUGAACUGAAAGCAGCAAGCUUUUGCCCUUGCGCCAGAGGAAUGGAAAGAAACAUAUUCUAUUUGAUCUCUAAGUCCGUACAUAGCAAUCCUGGAUGGGUCAUCACUUGCAACCGGUCUGUUGGAAAGUUCCUGCAUACGAACCUAAAAAAAAAAGCUUUUCUGGGGACGCGCUGUUCAAGUCGAGUUUCCUUAUUGUCCCUUCCAAGACNNNNNNNNNNNNNNNNNNNNNNNNNNNNNNNNNNNNNNNNNNNNNNNNNNNNNNNNNNNNNNNNNNNNNNNNNNNNNNNNNUAGAGGAAUUGGUCACCUCACUAACUUCCCUAUUUCCAAAGGAAGAAGCGAAGGAAUGUAUUUAAGACCCUACGACUAUUCAAUAGAGCAUAAUUGUCUCAUCCCAAAGGAAAGAUGAAUGGGUCCACUUCGCAUCCUAAGAGAGCGCUUUUUCUGCUAUGAAUGAAUGACCUCUCCAUUUAUUUUCAAGCUUGCUCUUCAAGCCGGCCUAUCGCUCUCCUCUAUGAAAAGGUUCUUCCUGGCAAGGAUCGGAACGGGCUCCCAGGUCGAAUUCCUGAUCUAUUCGUUUCAGCCUUAGAGGAUUGAGCUUUUUGAGAGCACCGCACUGCGAUUGAAUGGCGGAUUUCAAUGAUGAAGAGAAAAGUCUAGUUCUCUUUUCAUUUGAAAGGGGAAUGGAUGUCUUAUUGAGAGUGAUUACGGAAGAACCUUUUCAUAGAGGAGAGCGAUAGGCCGGUUUGAAGAGCAAGCUUGAAAAUAAAUGGAGAGGUCAUUCAUUCAUAGCAGAAAAAGCGCUCACUCACUCGUAUCUGAAAAGGCAGGCGGGGGGCUCUCUAUCCUUAAGAUAAGAUUUUUUUCAUUCUUAAAAGCCUUCUUUCAUAGAUAAUCAGUAGUCUUCCUCUCGCUAGCUAUUCUGAGUAAGAGGGGGAGGACUUGAUGUGACUACUAUUAGACCUCCAACCCCGAGAGACUCUACAAUCAUUAUGAGCGGAUAACCCUUUCCCUUCCCUUCUAUAGAGAGGUUGCCCCUUUCUCCCCGGGUAGUUCACUCACUCCCAGUGCCUACCAUUUCUAUAUACUUUUGAAAAUAGAGAGGUAGUCGCAGCAGGAGAAGCACCCCUAAACCCCUGAGAUCACUCGACCCCGACCGGUCAAUCUCCUGUCAUUGCUAUCUCGUGCGCGAAGGGUUGCUCAUGCUUCCCAAACGUCACGCAUUUUUUAGGUCAUUAGUCAACAGCUCCCUGGACAGCGAAAUAGGGGUGACUUCACAUUGUUUCCUGACACGCCUAUCUUUGUUUUAGGGAAAUCCUCUCCCCGUUCAGGCGGAUGCCGCACCUUGCGCUUGUGAAUGAGUGUGAUAUGUACCUCUUUGCUCAGCAUGUGACUUUGUACCCUCUGAGGUGAAUCCAAUAGUUUAGAUAUCCCCGCACAGAUGUUCUCGAAUGUGCCGUUCUCUUUGUUAGAAAGCCCUCUUGACUGUUGUCUACCUUUGAUUCUGUCUUCCGGGUGAAGGUCCUGCAGAGGUCUUUUUUAGUGAUCAAAAUUGAUUAGGGACAGUGAACCAUGAUGAAAGGAGCUAUUGACCUGAGUGCUUUUCUAUUUAUAUUUGAAAAGCAAGGUAGGUUAGUUAACGAAAGGGUAAGGUGAGGCUGGAAUGGGAUAUAGUAAGUGUGCCACGAGUGCUCCCUUCUAAGGCUUCUGCUUCUCUCCUUGCCUCAGGAUUGGAAUCAUAAACUCCAGAUUCUUUGGCUGUUCGGGCAUUGCGUUCGGUUCGAAAGGCAUGUGCCUAUCCCCGAUGACAAUGUCAUCACCGAGAAUAGCGUACUUUAGAAACCUUUGCUUUUGGAGUAACACGAGCCUGGCUCAACGCCUAAAGCGCACUAUGCUCUGCUUCAACAAAUGAGAGUUUUCGGUGGAACUGGUGAACCAGUGUGCCUCGUCUUGCCGAAAGACUUGGGAUUUCUUCAGGGUUCCCUCUGAAAUGAGGCAUGUAAGGGAGCCACUACGAAGAAGUUCCGGGAGUUACGAAGGAAGCUUCGAGCUUAAGGGCCCUUCUCACCUCCUACGAGUCAUCCGGCGGAAAAGACUUUCUGAAUGGGGUAAAAGAACUUGGGAUCAAGGUUGCAGUCAAUUGAGCUUCCCUUCUAGUCGCUUCCUCAAAUUCUGGAUCCCGCUCUCAGCUUCGUCGGACCAUUCGAUUCAUUAAGGGGCAUAGCGGCGCCCUCGCCCGGUGCCAUUUCCGGACCUAGCAGCAGACGGGCGGGCCGUGCCUGAAUUCAGACCGGACCAGACUCUUCUUUGUUUGAGCUGCUCCCAGGCACGCAGACCGAAGAUCUCACUUGUCCUGGACAAGUACGUAGAGAUCUUCGUGGGACCGUGGAGGGAGUCUCAAUCGAUCUUUUCUAGGAUUCCUUAUCACGCCACACAUGGAGAUCUU